UACGGAGGGUGCAAGCGUUAUCCGGAUUCACUGGGUUUAAAGGGUGCGUAGGCGGGCAGGUAAGUCCGUGGUGAAAUCUCUGAGCUUAACUCAGAAACUGCCAUGGAUACUAUUUGUCUUGAAUAUUGUGGAGGUAAGCGGAAUAUGUCAUGUAGCGAUGAAAUGCUUAGAUAUGACAUAGAACACCAAUUGCGAAGGCAGCUUACUACACAGUUAUUGACGCUGAGGCACGAAAGCGUGGGGGAUCAAACAGG
Molecule: ribosomal RNA, 254 nt
Filed under: uncultured bacterium
Lineage: Bacteria
Description: partial 16S ribosomal RNA
Rfam family: Bacterial small subunit ribosomal RNA
Source: RNAcentral